GAUGAACGCUGGCGGCGUGCCUAAUACAUGCAAGUCGAGCGAACAGAUGAGAAGCUUGCUUCUCUGAUGUUAGCGGCGGACGGGUGAGUAACACGUGAGUAACCUACCUAUAAGACUGGGAUAACUCCGGGAAACCGGGGCUAAUACCGGAUAAUAUUUUGAACCGCAUGGCUCAAUAGUGAAAGACGGUUUCGGCUGUCACUUAUAGAUGGACCCGCGCCGUAUUAGCUAGUUGGUAAGGUAACGGCUUACCAAGGCGACGAUACGUAGCCGACCUGAGAGGGUGAUCGGCCACACUGGAACUGAGACACGGUCCAGACUCCUACGGGAGGCAGCAGUAGGGAAUCUUCCGCAAUGGGCGAAAGCCUGACGGAGCAACGCCGCGUGAGUGAUGAAGGUCUUCGGAUCGUAAAACUCUGUUGUUAGGGAAGAACAAAUUUGUUAGUAACUGAACAAGUCUUGACGGUACCUAACCAGAAAGCCACGGCUAACUACGUGCCAGCCGCCGCAGUAA
This 514-nucleotide ribosomal RNA is filed under the name uncultured bacterium. Its description in RNAcentral is "partial 16S ribosomal RNA". It matches the Rfam family "Bacterial small subunit ribosomal RNA", at positions 28 to 523 of the family's 1533-position model. The record is from RNAcentral.